RNAcentral lists this ribosomal RNA (402 nucleotides) under uncultured bacterium. Its description in RNAcentral is "bacterial SSU rRNA". It matches the Rfam family "Bacterial small subunit ribosomal RNA", at positions 355 to 774 of the family's 1533-position model. The record is from RNAcentral.
UGGGGAAUAUUGCACAAUGGGCGAAAGCCUGAUGCAGCAACGCCGCGUGAGUGAUGAAGGCCUUCGGGUUGUAAAGCUCUGUCUUCUGGGACGAUAAUGGCGGUACCAGAGGAGGAAGCCACGGCUAACUACGUGCCAGCAGCCGCGGUAAUACGUAGGUGGCAAGCGUUGUCCGGAUUUACUGGGCGUAAAGGAUGCGUAGGCGGAUACUUAAGUCAGAUGUGAAAAUCCCGGGCUUAACUUGGGAACUGCAUUUGAAACUGGGUAUCUAGAGUGCGGGAGAGGAAAGUGGAAUUCCUAGUGUAGCGGUGAAAUGCGUAGAGAUUAGGAAGAACACCAGUGGCGAAGGCGACUUUCUGGACCGUAACUGACGCUGAGGCAUGAAAGCGUGGGGAGCAAACA